This 624-nucleotide ribosomal RNA is filed under the name Triticum aestivum (bread wheat). RNAcentral describes it as "partial small subunit ribosomal RNA". The record is from RNAcentral. Lineage: Eukaryota; Viridiplantae; Streptophyta; Magnoliopsida; Poales; Poaceae.
AUGUUAUUCCUGAAGAAGAAUCUACACAUUGGCACUACACUGCCUCAAGGAACCAUGUUUGCACGAGAUGGUGCACCAAAGUCUAUUCAUUUUUCCUCUACUCCGUUGGAGUCAAAGUACUUGACAACCAUCCUUUCAUACUUCAAAUUACCACACGGCUCGAUGAAGGCAAAUCAGGUAGCUGACACCCUUCAUUCAUGUGGGAAACCGGCUGACAAGAAGGAACCUCACAUGUGUUUCUCAUCCCGCGAAGCAAUGGCAAGGUUCGCCACCCGAGAAUUGGGAGUCAGCAGCGCACGAGCAGCCAUUACAAGGAUUCAUGGGCAUGAGAACCCUAGCUCCAUGUAUGUCGUGGAACAGAUCACCCAACUCAACAGUAACGUGGUGCCAUGCCACCCUAUGGAUUUUCCGUAUGAGGUUUUUUAUUGCCAUCGGCCAAAACAAGUGCAAUCUUUGAGGGUGCAACUCAAGGAUUUGAAAGAUGGCAUGUCGCGUGUGACGGCAAUAGCCAUGUGUCACAUGAACACAUCUGACUGGGACACACAGUACUUCGAGCUAUUAGACGGAGAGCAUGGUGAACCUAUUUGCCACUACAUGUCUACCGAUUACAUCAUGUUCUAUUAG